AUGAACGCUAGCGACAGGCUUAACACAUGCAAGUCGAGGGGCAGCAUAAAAGUAGCAAUACUUGGUGGCGACCGGCGCACGGGUGAGUAACGCGUAUGCAACCUACCUAUCAGAGGGGAAUAACCCGGCGAAAGUCGGACUAAUACCGCAUAAAACAGGGGCACCGCAUGGUGAUAUUUGUUAAAGAAAUUCGCUGAUAGAUGGGCAUGCGUUCCAUUAGGUAGUUGGUGAGGUAACGGCUCACCAAGCCGACGAUGGAUAGGGGAACUGAGAGGUUGGUCCCCCACACUGGUACUGAGACACGGACCAGACUCCUACGGGAGGCAGCAGUGAGGAAUAUUGGUCAAUGGGCGGGAGCCUGAACCAGCCAAGUCCGCGUGAAGGAAGAAGGAUCUAUGGUUCGUAAACUUCUUUUGCAGGGGAAUAAAGUGCAGGACGUGUCCUGUUUUGUAUGUACCCUGAGAAUAAGGAUCGGCUAACUCCGUGCCAGCCGCCGC
Molecule: ribosomal RNA, 497 nt
Filed under: uncultured bacterium
Lineage: Bacteria
Description: bacterial SSU rRNA
Rfam family: Bacterial small subunit ribosomal RNA
Source: RNAcentral